RNAcentral lists this transfer RNA (90 nucleotides) under Candidatus Parcubacteria bacterium. Its description in RNAcentral is "tRNA-Ser". It matches the Rfam family "tRNA". From Rfam's summary of the family: Transfer RNA (tRNA) molecules are approximately 80 nucleotides in length. Their secondary structure includes four short double-helical elements and three loops (D, anti-codon, and T loops). The record is from RNAcentral. Lineage: Bacteria; Candidatus Parcubacteria.
GGAGGGGUGGCUGAGCUGGUCGAAAGCGCCUCACUGCUAAUGAGGUAGGGGGCCAAAACCCCCUCGAGGGUUCGAAUCCCUCCCCCUCCG